This 253-nucleotide ribosomal RNA is filed under the name uncultured bacterium. Its description in RNAcentral is "partial 16S ribosomal RNA". It matches the Rfam family "Bacterial small subunit ribosomal RNA", at positions 524 to 776 of the family's 1533-position model. The record is from RNAcentral.
UACGAAGGGGGCUAGCGUUGCUCGGAAUCACUGGGCGUAAAGGGUGCGUAGGCGGGUCUUUAAGUCAGGGGUGAAAUCCUGGAGCUCAACUCCAGAACUGCCUUUGAUACUGAAGAUCUUGAGUUCGGGAGAGGUGAGUGGAACUGCGAGUGUAGAGGUGAAAUUCGUAGAUAUUCGCAAGAACACCAGUGGCGAAGGCGGCUCACUGGCCCGGUACUGACGCUGAGAUACGAAAGCGUGGGGAGCAAACAGG